This 267-nucleotide unclassified non-coding RNA is filed under the name Hevea brasiliensis (rubber tree). Lineage: Eukaryota; Viridiplantae; Streptophyta; Magnoliopsida; Malpighiales; Euphorbiaceae. The record is from RNAcentral.
AAUUGCUCUUAUUCUAUUCACUUACACAAUAUGUACAACAGAUUGCAGAGAAAAACAAAUAGGAUGCCAAAUUAACACACGACCUCACCAGUGCACAAGAUAUCUGUUGCUGGAUCAUGUUUGUUCAUCUGAUUUAACAGCUGAUAACCCUAUGCGCAUGUGAGGUUGUAAGCACAUAAUUAUUUCUAAAAUAAAUAUUCAAUAUAAAUGCUAAUGAACAACCACGAACAGCAGCAGCAACAGCUUCAGUUUAGGUCAGCUUGCAGC